GGGAAGAUAAUGAAGAAUGAACUGAUAUUGGAUAGAUAGAUGGACAGACAAAUUAUAAUGCAGGUAAAGAAACUAUACAGCAAAAUAAGGGUGAGAAGCAAAGAAACUCCACUUUUAUAAUUUAUUCCUUAAGCAUAUCAGAUAUAAAGCAGUUCUCCAUGUUGUUUAACAAAAUCUAAACCAUUUAAUAUUUAAUGAAGGAACUCUCUGUUUUUCCUUAAAAAACACACAGAGCAUUAAAGAUGUCAUAUCAACAUUUCAUACACAUGGUUUACAGCUAACUCUAAGAAAGAGAAGUUCUUUAAAUUCUAUGGCACAUCCAAAACACAC
Molecule: unclassified non-coding RNA, 330 nt
Filed under: Hevea brasiliensis (rubber tree)
Lineage: Eukaryota; Viridiplantae; Streptophyta; Magnoliopsida; Malpighiales; Euphorbiaceae
Source: RNAcentral